Molecule: long non-coding RNA, 3104 nt
Organism: Ochotona princeps (American pika)
Lineage: Eukaryota; Metazoa; Chordata; Mammalia; Lagomorpha; Ochotonidae
Exons: 4
Source: RefSeq, a predicted model, not a curated record
AAAAAAUCUUGAUAUAUUAACAUUUCAGUUGGUGACCUGUCAUAUUAUUGGCAAGACAACUGUACUUCCUAAAUGUUUGCCUUUAAAGUUUUAGAGUGAUAAUUUGUAUUUCUUGUAUUUUUCACCUUUUGAAGACAGAUUUGUUAGCCCUUUAUAUAAUUUUCCUAUAACUCUUAACCUUACAUCUAUAUUAUGAGUCAACAUAUUUAUCCUAAAUAUCCGUUAUGUGAUAUGUAACAUUCAUCAUACAUUUAUAACAUAUAUUACAUAAAUAAUAGAACUAUUCAGUGAAUAAAAGCCUUCCUUUCCUUGUAACAUUUAAUUCUAUUAUGAUAUACUACUGUGUUACUCCUGAAAUAUCUGUUACAUUUCUGGCUGUUUUUUUCUGUUUCUGUUUUGAACUAUAAUGUUAAAUAGUGCAUUAUAUAGUAUACUAACAUCUGUAAAUACAAAUCAAUGAGCUUUUCAUUUAUGCCAGAAACUAUAGCUCUAAAGCCUCCAGACUUAUUGCAAGACUCUUUCCUGUACCUGUCACUACUUCAUAAGCUGGGAAAUUGAGUUCUGACUCUUUCUGCAUCCUUGGCUUCAUGACUGAUCGGGUAUCCACAUUUCAGUAUAGUAACCCAUGAGCUGUGGUUUGUGGAAGACAUUCCAGAAAAGCUUUCUGGGACAUCACAGUUUUAUUUUGUCAUUGACUGUGGCCGCCCAAUGGUUGGAAGUCUCAGUGUCCUGCUGUUAUUUUCUCCUAAUGGACGGGUAUUCACCAGGAACCUGGCUGGUGUCAUUCCUGACUGGCAUUCUUUAACAUUCAUUCGUGGCGAGAAGAAGUCAGAGAAGCAUGGAGGGAAACCAAAUAUUUGGCUCAAGCACAGCAGGGAACCAGUAGAUAAUUGAGGGUUGGAGCCCUUCAAUCUCCAAAUAUGUUGAAAUGUACCUCAAAAUGUAACAUUAUUUAGAAAAAAAGUGAGAGAUGCAAUGAAGAGAAACUCAUAUUCAAAAUUCUGCCCAGUUUUUUAUGUGAACAAGCUCCAAGCUGCCUACUUGAGGAUGGUGACCACGUGGAGCUGAGAUAAACCACUCCAGAUUAUGUCAUUUGUGUCAGUUCUCAGUGGGUACUAUAACAAAUAAUCACAGAUUUGGGAGCCUAAAAUGACAACAAUUUAUCGUGUAACAGUUUUGUAGAACAGAAAUCCAACGUAGAUCUCACUAGACUGUAAAAUCAGUGUUCUUUCCUUAAGGCUCUGGGGAAGACUACUUCUUAUCUUUUCUAGCCUCUGCAUGCUCCCUGCAUUCCUUGAUUUAUCAUCCUUCUAUCUUCAAACCUAGCAACAGCAGGUGAAAUUCUUCUUACAUCACAUCACUUUGCUUUCUUCUGACUCCUCUUUUUUGUACUUUUAAGGACUCAUGUUGUUACAAAGAAGGCUUAUUUCAAGGGCAACUUAAUUGCAACUUCAAUUCCAUCUUCAGUUGUAAUUCCUGUGCAGUAGGUGACGUAACACAGUCACAGAUUCCAGAUUAGAGUGUGGACGUGUCUGAAGGGAGCAAUAAUUGCUUUGUCCAUACCAUCCUUGAUUAGCCAGCAUCUGACAAACUCAGAAACUGGUUGCAGGUUCCUGAGUGAGUCUAGCUGUGAUCGAAACAGCUUAACUGAACAGGGCACACGUGGCUGGUAUGCAAGGUUGGAAUAUAUGAAUUGAAUAAAAGUGGAUUAAUCACUUAAAAAAGUUUAGCUGACAUUGUGUGAAACAAAAGAAAAUGAAGACAGUCUUUGAAAAGCUGGAACAAAUGUGAACUUAGGUGUGCUCCAACAUCAGAUUUCCAAAACCAGCCUGAAUAUGUUAAGUACUCCGUCUUUAUUUACAAGUUUUAUUAAUCAUUUUUGCUCUUUUCCAAAUAAUGGAGUUAGCAUUAGAUAAACUCAGUCUCUCUGAAUUUUUUUGCAAUAUGAAAAAUCACACUGCAAAUUUUCCCUAUCAACUUUCUCAAUGUUGCUCUUAGAUGACCUCUAUUCACAAAAAAGAGGGUUAACCUCUAGGCCCUGGUUCUUUAAAAUGAAAUAGCUUGUGCCCUGGGCCAAUUUUCCGUUAGGGGGUAAGUAUUAUUUAACAACCUUCUUGAGCUGUUCAGUUACAUUUUUACUUUUACUUUCAAGUAUGUUUAACUUGAACAAAGUUGUAACUUGUACUGUCUGGCAUAGAUCUCAUGGCCAGCUGUUGGAGUUUUGUUUGUCACUGAGGAAAGAACUUGAUAUAUUCCACAGUCUAAAUUCUCUCUGUUUCAGUUGUGAGACUGAAGGGGGAAAAUGUCAAAGCAAAUUUUCUCUGCAAGAAUUUUAGUAUCCUGAAUAAAACUUCAGAGAAACUGGAUCUCAAAGUGAUGUUCACGUGGAAACUAUGACCCAAACAGAGUAAUUUCUAAUUAAAGCACAUGAAGUUUUUACCUUGUAAUGUUUUUACCCUGCAGUGUUUUAUCUAUGAUUCCAAGAUUUCCAUUUCAAGUAUUUACUAGUGUAACAUGCAAAAGCAGUGGGUUAACAUCAUCAAUUUGGUGCCAAAGUCUCAUAAAAUGAGCCCAUCUAAAAAAUGAAUAAAAAUAAAAUAAAAUGAGUCCAUCUGUGUAAUAACAGCCCAAUGGUGUAAAGUCUAGUGGGUGUAGAUAGGUGGGAAUGGGGAUGUUGUUGAGUAAUAAGGAGCUCUUUAUCUGUGAAAAAAAAAAGAAAUUAUUACUAAAAACUUGAAAUUAGAAGUAAGUAGAUAAAAGCAUUAUUUGGCAGUAGCAUAAGAAUUAUACAUUCAAAGCCAUUGGACACUAAAUCCAUCUGCUUGUGGUUCCCUGUACAACUGCUCAGGAAAUUAAAAACUAAAUAAUUACAUCAUUGAAAUUUUUAUUUCUGGAUUCACUUUGCUUCUUCUUUCCUCUUGGAAUGUUUUGAAAUUUAUCACCAUAAAAUCUGAGCAGGAUAUUAAAAAAAAUUGUUUUUUUUUUCUAUUUUUAUUAUAAGAGAAGGAAUUUAGAGUAACCUGUGAAACUUGAAGAUUCUUAUGCAUUCACUUAAUGAUGAGAUAUAUCUCUUUUCUUAACCUCUUCUUGAUUGUGUUUCUAUU